This 253-nucleotide ribosomal RNA is filed under the name uncultured bacterium. RNAcentral's name for it is "partial 16S ribosomal RNA". It matches the Rfam family "Bacterial small subunit ribosomal RNA", at positions 524 to 776 of the family's 1533-position model. The record is from RNAcentral.
UACAGAGGUCCCAAGCGUUGUUCGGAUUCACUGGGCGUAAAGGGUGCGUAGGCGGUCGGGUAAGUCUGGCGUGAAAUCUCCAAGCCUAACUUGGAAACUGCGUUGGAUACUAUCCGGCUCGAGGAAUGGAGGGGAGACUGGAAUACUUGGUGUAGCAGUGAAAUGCGUAGAUAUCAAGUGGAACACCAGUGGCGAAGGCGGCGAUCUGGGUCGAUACUGACGCUGAGGUGCGAAAGCGUGGGGAGCAAACAGG